UCCUGCUUCAUUUUGGUGCCAUAAACAGCUCGGUAAUACCCGAGCUCUGCAGAUCUUUCGUCCCUGUUAUCAGCCUAGCCAAAAAUGGUGCAAAUUUCUGGCUGAAACCACAGUUACUGCAGGUGGCUUUCCAAUUCCGUUCUGUGGCAGCUGUAACAAAACAUUCUGAUUUGAGCUAUAGUUCAAGAAAAGAUGGCAUUAAGAGAUCUAGAUCAGCUAUCAAACAUUAAAGGACUUAAAGCAAAUCACCUUUCUAGUGACCCAUUGAUUACUUGUCAUAUUUAUUGAUUUAAGGACUUCCUCCAUACUUUUAGUUAGGAUCUCACACUGUUAUCCACAAUACAGUGAAUAUCCUCUGUUCCUUUUAAGCCUCUGGGGUCUAGACAUUGUCAUCACCAAACAAUGAUCGAACUGAAGUAAUAAAUUGCAAAUGAUGUUAAGGUAUGAAUUUGCAAGAUUAUUAAUAAAGGCAUGAAGUAAAACAUGGAAAGAGUGGCGACAUGAUUUGUACUAGGUUUCCACCGUUGAUGAUAAUACUUUAAGCCUGAUCGAGGCCAUAUAUUUGCCUUCAGAGAGAGCAAUCUUCACAUUGGCCUAUUAAGCGACGAACGAAGUUUGAUACAUUGCCUACUUCCAUGACCAAAUAACGAAUCAAUAAAAUGCAAUCAAGAUCACAUAUGCGUGAGCAGUUUCCAGAAUUCAUCAGAUAGUGAAUUUCUCUACUUCAUAAAAGUUGGAGAGAAGUAUUACUUUAUUUAAACAAGCGCAGACUUAUA
RNAcentral lists this long non-coding RNA (776 nucleotides) under Eucalyptus grandis. RNAcentral's name for it is "long non-coding RNA (EGRA_LNC001269)". Lineage: Eukaryota; Viridiplantae; Streptophyta; Magnoliopsida; Myrtales; Myrtaceae. The record is from RNAcentral.